This is a non-coding RNA of Paramormyrops kingsleyae, 783 nucleotides long. The record is from RefSeq and is a predicted model, not a curated record. NCBI's taxonomy places the organism in Eukaryota, Metazoa, Chordata, Actinopteri, Osteoglossiformes, Mormyridae.
GGUCCUGCGGAGGUGCCCUCACUCCUUCCCGUCUCAUCCACAUCUCCGGGGGGAUAGGGGGCGCUCUAAAUACAGCUGCUCUCCCAGCACUGGCGCCCUCGCCCCAGGUUCCGCAGCAGGUCCCUGUGGGCGGGAGGAUACCUGCACAAACAAGCCUCCUCAUCCAGGCAGGACACCCCUGACAGCAAGGGGAUCAGUCUCAUGCCAGCAGUUACAGCGAGUGACCCAGCAAUAACCCGGUUACAGCACGGCGAGUGACCCAGCAAUAACCCGGUUACAGCACGGCGAGUGACCCAGCAAUAACCCGGUUACAGCACGGCGAGUGACCCAGUAAUAACCCGGUUACAGCACGGCGAGGGACCCAGUAAUAACCCGAGUUACAGCACGGCGAAUGACCCAGUAAUAACCCGAGUUACAGCACGGCGAGUGACCCAGUAAUAACCCGGUUACAGCACGGCGAGUGACCCAGCAAUAACUCGGGUUACAGCACGGCGAGUGACCCAGCAAUAACCCGGGUUACAGCACAGGCUGCUGAUGCCCCUGCUGACAAGAGUGGUGACCACAACAUGUUUACGGUCCACAGGAAGAUGGCAUGACCACUCCAUGCGUACAGCACUUUCAUGAGGAAAUAUAUCAUACCAAUCAAGAAAAAUUACUUUGCAUUACUACUAGACGCAGAGUCUGUUUUUUAUUACUGUGUCAGAGAUCCGAAGGGAAACCACAUUUAAAAAAACACUGCCGUAAUCUCUUUCACAUCUACUUUCAAAUAAAUCACAGAUUCCA